AACGAACGCUGGCGGCAGGCCUAACACAUGCAAGUCGAACGGAUACUUCGGGAUUAUUGGCGGUCGGGUGGGUAACACGUGGUAACGUGCCCUUUGGUUCGGAACACUUCACGGAAACUUGAGCUAAUACAGGAUGUGCCCUUAGGGGGUAAGAUUUAUUGCUAUUGGAGCGGCCCGGGUAUGUUUCGCUAGUUGGUGAGGUAACCGCCCGCCAAGGAGACGAUGAGUAGCUGGUCGGAGAGGAUGAUCAGCAGCACUGGGACUGAGACACGGCCCAGACUGCUACGGGAGGCAGGAGUGGGGAAUAUUGCGGAAUGGGCGGAAGCCUGACGCAGCCACGCCGCGUGAAUGAUGAAGGGCUUAGGAUUGUAAAAUUCUUUCUGCGGGGACGAUAAUGACGGUACCCGCAGAAGAAGCUCCGGCUAACUUCGUG
This 433-nucleotide ribosomal RNA is filed under the name uncultured bacterium. RNAcentral describes it as "partial 16S ribosomal RNA". It matches the Rfam family "Bacterial small subunit ribosomal RNA", at positions 29 to 507 of the family's 1533-position model. The record is from RNAcentral.